This 90-nucleotide transfer RNA is filed under the name Lasallia pustulata. RNAcentral's name for it is "Umbilicaria pustulata tRNA-Val". Lineage: Eukaryota; Fungi; Ascomycota; Lecanoromycetes; Umbilicariales; Umbilicariaceae. The record is from RNAcentral.
AGUUUUGUGGUCUAAUGGUUAUGAUUUCUCGUUCACAGCUGUGAGCACUGUUUCCCGAGAAGGUUCGGAGUUCGAUCCUCCGCAAAACUA